AUUUAAAUAGCUAAUUUAAGCAUUACAUUGAAGAUGUAAAGAUAAUAUGAAAUAUUUUUGAAUA
This 64-nucleotide transfer RNA is filed under the name Euphyllodromia sp. Z257. RNAcentral describes it as "tRNA-Phe". Lineage: Eukaryota; Metazoa; Arthropoda; Insecta; Blattodea; Pseudophyllodromiidae. The record is from RNAcentral.